AUACGGAUGGUGCGAGCGUUGUUCGGAAUUACUGGGCGUAAAGGGCGCGUAGGCGGCGAUGUAAGUCGAAUGUGAAAGUCCUCGGCUUAACCGGGGAAGUGCAUCUGAAACUGCAUUGCUUGAGUAUGGGAGAGGAAAGUGGGAUUCCCGGUGUAGAGGUGAAAUUCGUAGAGAUCGGGAGGAAUACCGGUGGCGAAGGCGACUUUCUGGACCAAUACUGACGCUGAGGCGCGAAAGCGUGGGGAGCAAACAGGAUUAGAAACCCUAGUAGUCC
This 274-nucleotide ribosomal RNA is filed under the name uncultured bacterium. RNAcentral's name for it is "partial 16S ribosomal RNA". It matches the Rfam family "Bacterial small subunit ribosomal RNA", at positions 523 to 796 of the family's 1533-position model. The record is from RNAcentral.